RNAcentral lists this non-coding RNA (29 nucleotides) under Rattus norvegicus (Norway rat). Lineage: Eukaryota; Metazoa; Chordata; Mammalia; Rodentia; Muridae. The record is from RNAcentral.
UNCCCUGGUCAUUUCAUUAGCUCACAGUU